AUUGUAAUUCAAUUGGAUACUGUUCUUGGAUUGGGUUGGCCACUUGCCAUUUCCCAGAAGCAAUGGUAUGUUCAAGAAUCUCAAGCUUUGCUCAUCUCUUUCCAUUUUAGAUCUCACUCUCACCGAUCUUCUUGACAGCAAACACAAGGUUAGAUACUUCCUCUUUAGCUUGAGUUCUUUGAGAUUCACGCAACAUCUUCUUCUAUCUUUAAUCCUCUAACCCUUGCUCAUAUUCUUUCUCAAAGACUGAAAUUGUUGAUUUAUGAAUUUGAUAUGAUCUCCAAGAUUCUUGCGCCUUUCAAUUUCAGCAUUGAUUCUUCAUUCAACCUAGUUAGGUUUGAUGGAGUUUAAAAACAGUAUGUAGGAUUAACUGUUAAAACAAUCCUGUUUGGACCGGUAUUAUUAGGCUUGAUUGCUAUAGUGUGUGGGGAGAAAAUACAGGAAGUCAGGAGGAAAGUGAGGGUAAGUAAAGGAAUAGAAGAAAGGAGAGAAAAUAAGGAUUCAUUAAAGUUUUUGACAAUUACUUCUGCAAAGAUAUCAAAUGCAGCUUCAGGAAAUACCAAAGUGACUAGCUAAAAGUAUAAUUGAUCAACUAACUAGUAACAGUGCCUAGCUCAGACACAUUACUCGCCUGGAGACAUGGGUUUGAGUAGCAUACCCCAAUCCCCUACUUAACAAUAAAAUAAAAGGAAAUAAAAGCUAACUAGUAACAGUUACUUGAUUACUGAGUAGUUAAUGGGUCCUAGGACAUCUAUCUUUUAGCCACUUUAUUGCUAAUUUUGCUUUAACUGCCAUUGAGGCUGAGAAAAGAGGAAGAGAUAAAGGAACAUAGGCAUAUCCUUUGGAGGAUUAUGCUGUUCAUAUGCUCUAAACCCUAUAAAUUUCUUCUGUCAGGUGGAGAAGACUUAAAAGGUCUAAAGGUUGCAUCCUUGCUGGAUAUAUACUGGUCCAACAGCACAUGCUUACUAAUUGAAUAUUGCUUAUAUCACAUAAAUCUUUUGGUGCCUUUAUGUGACAUAUUUUGGUUUCAUGUAUCCGAGAUCUCCCAUAUUAUGUUAUUUUAUGAGUUAUGCCCUGCCAUAUAUCAAACCUCUCUAUAAAUAUUUACGUUUCAUCAUUUUAAGAGAAAUUUUUUACUGGACAUCAACACAACUGUCAAAUAUUAUAACCAUUCUCAAUAGAAUUGACCACUGGUCACAACCUUGCUAACAAUUAUAAUAUAUUCUUCUUGCCAUAUAUUUAUUUUGAAAAUCUGCAAUGCAUUGACACUGAACUAUACUUUUUUUUUUGUACAUAUUAAAAAACAAGACAAACAUAGCAUAAACUAAGUCUAAUAACUUUUCUUUCGAUAACUGAUAAAAUUCCUGAUAACAAAAUAAAGUAGGUGGAGACUGGAGAGUGUUGCUACUGGCUACAAGGCUAUAUGCAGACAAUAAAGCCUCAUUACAAGUACACAGCAGUGAGUCUUAUCCUAAACUGCAUAGCAAGAUGGCGAAAUAUGAAGCAUUGCAAACAAUAGAUUAUAGACAUAUGUAUUUACCUUUUAAGAUUACAUGAAACUGAAGCUAAGCAAUCAAAUUCUUUGCUGAAACUACCUUUGACUUUACGGCUGCAACUCUGUAGCUCAGUAGCUGAAUUGAAUAUCCCACAAAUUCAUGUUUUUCUCGUUCCCUUAAAGUCUUUCCUGCCAUAUAUCUGAUACUGAUCUGCAGCAAUCAAGUUAGCUGUACUUUGAAUGAUUAGGCGCAUUUUCCUUGAUGCAAUCUGCGAUUCCCUUCUUUCCACUAUUUCCAACAAUUCAGAGGUUCAUGGCUGUUUUUGGCGAUUUCAUGGCUAGAAGAGCUCUCUCCUUCAGAAUACAUUUGUAAAGGACGGAUAUCCCAGACCCCUCCACCUCUCCAGUAGGAAGAGUUAACUUGUGGGAUGUGUGCAACUCUGCUAAAAUCUUCACCUUGUUCAUUUGGACUCAAUGUCCUAAUCAAUUCAUCAGGCAUUUCAAAAAACUCUAGCACUUUUAAUUUAGUCAGAUGCUCAAUUCCUGAGGGAACUUUUCUUAAGGAGUUGCAGCGCUGGAUGAUGAGUUUUUCAAGGCGAGGCAUUGCCCCUUUCUCCACAUGUAUGCUUUUCAGAUCAUUGAAUUUAUCAAGACCUAAUAUUUUGAGCUUCUGAAACCCUCCAGUAGCAAAUGACACAAUCUCUCCAUCAAAAGCCUGAAGUAAUUCAAGAUGAAUUAGAUUCGGCAAAUGUUGAAGAUCUGUAAAUGGAUCUUGUUUAAGUCGACUCCCUUUAAGAAACAAUUUCACCAGUCUGUUGACCAUGGUUAUCCAUUCUGGUAGCUUUUCUAGACGCCCUGUCAAGUACAAUCUCUGAAGAUGCUGAGGAGGUGAAAAUUGGCAUUGAAGGUCAAUGAUUUCCUCCUCUUUAACUGCAGUUAUAGACAGUGCUCGAAGCUUACUUAGCUUUUGAAUGGAAGAGCACAGAACCUUCCCAUCUUCUCUUCUCAACUUAGUGAUGCCUAACCUUCGUAGUUCCUUUAGCUUCCCCAACUCUGUCAUUAUAAUAUGGCUUUCUUUAUUUGCCUCUAUAAAGCAGAGCUUCUGCAGGUUUUUCAACUCUCCUAUUUUUGCAGGUGCUUCAAAACCAUAUUUAUAGUUGAAGUGAGCAUAAGGUUCGAACUCAUACCGAUACACCAGGAGAUGGUGGAGUUUUUUGAGCUUCAGGAUUGUUAUAGGCAAUUUACUGACAUAGGAAUGUUUGAGAUCCAAAGUUUGUAGGUUUCUAAGCUUUCCAAUGGAUGGUGGAAUUAUUCCCACCAUGGUAUUUUUCAAACUCAAGUACCUUAGGAGGGACAGCUUCACAAUUUCAGCUGGAAAUAUCUCUAAAGGUGCACCUUGCAAAUCCAGUACAUUAAGCAUACCAAAACUUUCAGGGAACGAUGUGUGCAUGGAUGAUAGGGAAUCUGUCAAUCCAAACAUGAAUAAGGAACGGAGUUGUGAAAAUGUCUUGAUCUGCUUUAUAUUCUGCAUUGUAUUAUGUAUGGAUAGCCUUCGAACUGUUUCAGGCCAUACUUCAUCUUGUUGUUUCGCUACUGCAGAAAAAUUUUGAUCUUUUGACUUCAAAAUGGAAAUCUUAUGCAGGAUAUCAUGGACACGACAUGUUUUGACCCUUCCAUCACUUGUUCUCUUUGCCACCUGGAUCAAGUUUCUGUCCAAAAGCAUCUUGAGGUAUCCCUGAGCAACUUCUUCUGCUGUUCUUUCUUCCAUUACUUCUGCAAAUCUUUCUGCUACCCACAAGCGAAUCAGUCUCAUGCACUCUAUAGGAUGGCCCUCUGGAAAGAUGCUAAAGUACAAGAAGCAAGAUUUUACAAUGUAAGGCAAUUUUUCAUAACUGAGAAACAAAAUUUCUUUCAUGAACUCGAUUUCAUUAUUAUCUCUCAGUUCUGCACCAAGGCUCCUAUCAACCAUUUCCCACUCAUCUGGUAGGCUUUUGUUCUUAGUAAACAAAAGACCGCUGAUUGCAAUGAUUGCCAGUGGCAGCCCCUCACAUUUUUCUAAAAUACUUUGGGAAACUUUCUGCAAAUAAGGAGGACAGAUUUCCUUCUUAAACGUCCUCUUGUUGAACAGUUCUUCAGACUCUUUCGCAGAUAGUGGUUUCAACUCAAAGUUGUGGCCAUUGAAUUCCUUAGAAGAGGUAGAAGAUACAGCGGCAUCGCGAGUUGUGAGCAUCACUCGGCCACCAUUUCCUCUAGGCAAUACAGAUUUGAUAGAAUUCCAUGCUCCUAAACUCCACACAUCAUCUAGCACAAGUAUGUAGGACCCUUGCCGGAGGAAAUUUUUUACUACUUCUUUCAGCUUGGUUGACUUCAUGGUUUCCACUUCCUGAGGGACUGGCUGCUUGAAUUCGGCAUAGAGCUGCUGCAUCAUGUCUUUUAGUAGGUCAGUGAUCUUGAAUGAUUCUGAGACAGUGAUCCAAACAUGGAAGUGAAAAUGUUUCUUCACUCUGGAGUCAUCAUAAACUUUCUUUGCUAGGGUGGUCUUUCCCAAUCCUCCCAUUCCACAUAUUGCAAUAAUUUUGAGUUUAGAAUCACCAUCUGCCAGCCAAGUAAUCAGCUGCUCUCUGUGAUUUUCAAUGCCCACUAACUCUUGCUCCUCUAGUAGAAGGGCUUGUUCUCGUUGGUCAAUCCAUGUUUCAGCUGCAGAAGUAGAGCUUGAACCUUUGCCCUUCUUGCUAAUAUCAUAUUUUGGUAGUUGAUCAAGAAUUGUAUCAAUUUCCAAUUUGAUCCUAUGUAUAUUAGCAGCAUUUUGGUGGUAAACAUUCUGUUUCUUGAAGGAAGUAUAAAUCUUGAGGAGAAAGCUGUGGAAUCCACACCCAUUGUUGUUGGCAGCAUGAACUGGAAGCUGGUUGAGGACAUCCUCAGUGCAGUGAAGAACAUCUCUCAAUUUCCCAACAAACUUUUGAAGUUCUGGAUCCA
RNAcentral lists this long non-coding RNA (4471 nucleotides) under Manihot esculenta (cassava). Its description in RNAcentral is "long non-coding RNA (MESC_LNC010695)". The record is from RNAcentral. Lineage: Eukaryota; Viridiplantae; Streptophyta; Magnoliopsida; Malpighiales; Euphorbiaceae.